AUUCCGAUUACACGGCGCUCACUUUAGCCACAAAUCACCAACAGGAAUGAAGCGCAAUGUUGCCCCCUUGUGGCAGUUCCAGUAAAUAACCAGGGAAAUCACUGUCAGGCCUCAGUGGGGCAACACAACUGUCAGUCCAGGGCGGCAAUUGGGUAGAACUGAAACUCCCAUCUGUUUUAUAGCUCUGUUUUAAUGUGGGGGGCUGUUCUGUGACACAUACAGGAUUUCUUUUAACUUCAACCACAAAUAUGUGAUAUACUCACCCCUUUUUAUAAUAUUAUUAUUUUCAUAAUAUUAUUAUUAUUAUUAUUAGGCAAAUAGGAAUUUGAGCUCAGUGCUGACAUUUCAGAACAGGACACACCCACUUUUGAGAUUUAAUUUCUACAAUUCACAUCUGAUUUCAUUUGUAAGUUACUAAAUAAAUAGUGAUGUCCCCUCAAUACUAAAGGGCUGAGUCACUCCCAGCAACUCCCAGCACAGCACAACUGUAUGUCAGUGGGCCCAGUAUUUAAAGACACAGUGACCCCUUCAUUAGGAAUGAUGUUCCCCGGCAUCUGGCAGCGCCACACAGACCUGACCCCGUUUCAACAUUCCAAUAAGUAGAAGCAGAUUCCAGGUCUGAUCUCAUUCGUGUCCAGUAACAGAGCAGGUGCUUCUAAAUGAAUUGCCCUAAGCUCUGUCUCUGCUGCCUCCACCAUCCAGUGCCACAAGCAGCUGAUUAACAGCCUGUGAAGAAGGAAGCAAGGCAUUAUGGGAACUGGGGGUGUGGCUGGAGUGUCGCUACAUUGUUUCAGGAGUCAGGAAGCUGCAGUGCAGAAAUAGCAAUUACGUUUACAAACCAAUGAAUAUGAUGUGCAGUGAGACUGUGUAUUUGUGCUGCUCUGGCUACAAAAUGAUAUUUCAUCAAAACAACUUCUUAUUUUGGGCAUUGGCUCCUGGGAAUGGCAGUAAAUGGAUUUCUAUUUAGGCUUCAAAUGACCCAGGUCUGGAUUCUCUUCUCCCUCAUAACAUGGGGUUGGGUGAAGUCACAAUAUCGAGGGGGGGGGUUACUCAAGGUCAAAUGCUGCAAAUAAAAUGGUUUUGCCUAAAUGAACUUCCUAGAAACAAACAUAUUAGUUCAUAUUAGAUUCAAUACUUUGGGUCCCACAUGUCUAUUUAAAAGGAGUCAGACUAGUCCUGCCUUUGUCUCACAGUUAUAGAGAGUUCCUCCAGGAUGAAGCAGAGAAAGUUAUUUAUCUACUAGUCCUAGUCUCCCCCCACCCAACUCCCUGCACCCUCAGCUGUAGCCAAUUAUCUGACUUUAUAAGCCCCCACUCCCUGUGCUCCCUGUUUGCUCAUUAGACUCUGUGCUGGCGAUUUAAUCAGUUGCUGAACAGUUGCCUCUGCCCUUUCAUUUUGGACCUUGAGUUCAGUGUCUGUUGAUCUGACUCCCAACCUGUCUGUCCUUCUGACCCAAUGUCCCAGAAGAAGAGUUUUGGUUCCUCGGCUUUGGGAAAUGAUCCUUGUGAUAUUGAUUUGUUUAUUAAAGAGAAUGAAGGGGAAUAGGACACCUGCCUGCAAUGUCGCCCAUUGGGGGUUAAUGGUCAGGAGGGGGCAGAAGGGGUUAACUGAUGAAGACUCUGCUACAUCUCUGGCUGUUCUCAAGGCAAAGUUCACUGGGGACUUGUGAGCUGCUCCUUCUGGAAUCAUUUCACUUCUCUCAAUCCUGUGAAAGAUAAAGACCCCCAGUGUAGAAGCAGCUCAAUGUCAGUGGAUCUCCCUUAUGUCCCACGUGAGAAGCUUUGGCUGAGGCACCUGUAUGUGAAUAUUAAUCCUUGUGUUACUGGGAGUCGGCGACCCACGUGAGUGGCUUUGCCUAUUGCUCAGUCUCUAUUUCCACUGCAGCUUUGGUCAAUACAUCAGGGGCUCAUAUCAAUGUUCUUCUUACAUCUGAUAACCUGGAGUCCUUAUUCCGGUGACACCUGACUGGUAUCUGGCUGCUUCGUCUCCAUGUAAAACAUUAUUUUUUUCUGAAUUAUUCUUGUUUUCUUGCUCAGCCAGUCCUGAAUGUUACCAGAAGUGCUGGGAAUUGCACAAGAGCUUGCACUCCAUACCAGUGCCGGGCUGGGAUUAGAGCUACACUAUGAGCUCAAGUUGAAAUGGUUUAGAAAAUGUUUUUUUCUGCUCAUAGUUUUAUGCCUGGGCUUAAACCUGCCCAAUAUAAACAAAACAUAAACCUAAAAGUGGUGUAAAUCUAAAGUGGCUCCAAAUCUCCAUAUAUAUAUAAUUUCAAAGACAUUUUUAUCAAUGAGGUUGGACAUAGAAUUCUCUUUUUAUCAAUGAGGUUGGACAUUCCCUGGCAAUUCCCUAUUUCAUGAGUUGUUCAAAUGACUAUAACACUAUAUAGUUCAAACUAUAACACCGUCCCCUAGUUUUCUAUAGAAAUUGUAUAGCAAAAUUAUAGAUGCAACAAAUCCACCAAUGAGAAUCAGACAUGGGGAUAAAGGACAGACUUGUUCAGUGCUGGGAAACUGGGCUUAAAGCUUCCAACUCCAGUUGCAGGAACAAAGAACAUGGAGCCACAUUGAUACAGAUCAUCUUGGAUUCUCAUGGGAGGAUUAUUUUUAUGGUGCACUAUUGCUUUAAGAAUACAACCCUGAUGUUGCUGGACUACAGCUCCCAGCAUGCUUCAAGUAAAGUUUGGUUGAGUAGUGCAGCAGGGUUUACUACCCAUUUAAUGGGAUAUUUUUAAGUAUGAGGUUUCAUGUCAACGUAAGUUAGUUUGGUUAUGGCCAUGUUUGUUCCAUGUGGGGCACCAGACUAAAUCAUAGGAAUAAGUCAGAACUGAACAGGAGCUGAGGCUCAUGGGAUGUCUGUAAAUGGCUCUUCAAACAUGUCUAACCAGAAAAAGUUGUGUAUUCUCGCACACCCUACUUAUAAGCUGAUGAACAUGGGCCUGAUAUAAACACAGGUGGAGGCUCGGCCACCUCCCAAUGCAAGUUCUCAAGAUAAAUCCAAUGGCACCCAGGUCUGCAUGAACUAAUGUUUAUUUAAAGGGGAGUGCAGUGCAAACCUGUCCAUGCAGACCCGGGUUCCAUUGGAUUUCUCUUGUGAAUCUUCAAACGCGUCUGACUUGACCAAUGUUCUUGUACCAUGAAUAGAGUUAAAUGAAUAUAGUUUGUGAUCAUGCAGCCGACAUCCCUCCAAAUCAUAUGAAACAAAUGUAUUGUGCUUGUGUCUCCAGCUGCAACUCGAUUGGAUGAAU
Xenopus laevis (African clawed frog) is the source of this 3244-nucleotide long non-coding RNA. RefSeq lists it as uncharacterized. NCBI's taxonomy places the organism in Eukaryota, Metazoa, Chordata, Amphibia, Anura, Pipidae. The transcript is spliced from 2 exons. The record is from RefSeq and is a predicted model, not a curated record.